UCGAACGCGUCUUGGUUAUUGAUGUUAAGUGCUUGCAUUUAACUGAUUUAACAUUGAGACGAGUGGCGAACUGGUGAGUAACACGUGGGUAACCUGCCCUUGAAGUAGGGGAUAACACUUGGAAACAGGUGCUAAUACCGUAUAACAACCAAAACCACCUGGUUUUGGUUUAAAAGAUGGCUUCGGCUAUCACUUUAGGAUGGACCCGCGGCGUAUUAGCUUGUUGGUAAGGUAACGGCCUACCAAGGCAAUGAUACGUAGCCGACCUGAGAGGGUAAUCGGCCACAUUGGGACUGAGACACGGCCCAAACUCCUACGGGAGGCAGCAGUAGGGAAUCUUCCACAAUGGACGAAAGUCUGAUGGAGCAACGCCGCGUGAGUGAUGAAGGGUUUCGGCUCGUAAAACUCUGUUGUUGGAGAAGAACAGGUGUGAGAGUAACUGUUCACAUCUUGACGGUAUCCAACCAGAAAGCCACGGCUAACUACGUGCCAGCAGCCGCGGUAAUACGUAGGUGGCAAGCGUUGUCCGGAUUUAUUGGGCGUAAAGCGAGCGCAGGCGGUUUCUUAGGUCUGAUGUGAAAGCCUUCGGCUUAACCGGAGAAGUGCAUCGGAAACCAGGAGACUUGAGUGCAGAAGAGGACAGUGGAACUCCAUGUGUAGCGGUGAAAUGCGUAGAUAUAUGGAAGAACACCAGUGGCGAAGGCGGCUGUCUGGUCUGUAACUGACGCUGAGGCUCGAAAGCAUGGGUAGCGAACAGGAUUAGAUACCCUGGUAGUCCAUGCCAUAAACGAUGAGUGCUAAGUGUUGGAGGGUUUCCGCCCUUCAGUGCUGCAGCUAACGCAUUAAGCACUCCGCCUGGGGAGUACGACUGCAAGGUUGAA
RNAcentral lists this ribosomal RNA (881 nucleotides) under uncultured bacterium. RNAcentral's name for it is "bacterial SSU rRNA". It matches the Rfam family "Bacterial small subunit ribosomal RNA", at positions 29 to 898 of the family's 1533-position model. The record is from RNAcentral.